Molecule: long non-coding RNA, 2084 nt
Filed under: Solanum tuberosum (potato)
Lineage: Eukaryota; Viridiplantae; Streptophyta; Magnoliopsida; Solanales; Solanaceae
Description: long non-coding RNA (STUB_LNC002899)
Source: RNAcentral
CGUAGUCUUUUGAAGAGAAGUCACUUACCAAGAGACUUUUGGGCAGAAGCAGUUCGUUGGAGCGUUCAUAUAUUGAAUAGAUGUCCUACCAACUCUAUUCAAAGUAUGACACCUCAUGAAGCUUGGAGUAGGCGUAAACCAAAUGUUGAGUACUUUCGGAUUUUUGGAUGUAUAGCAUAUGCACAUAUUCCAGAUGCAGCAAGGAAGAAGUUGGACGAUAAAGGUCAGAAGUGCAUUUUCCUUGGUAUUAGUGACAAAUCAAAAGCUUAUCGCUUGUUCAAUCCUAUUACUAAGAAAAUAGUUGUUAGCCGAGAUGUUAUUUUUAAUGAAGAAGCAAUCUGGAAUUGGGGUGAUAACAAUUCGUUUCAACAUAUUCCAGUUUCUGUUGAAGAAGAAGAGGAACCAGAACGACCUUUGGAGAUCAGUUCACAACCAAGUCCAAUUGUACAGGAUGCUGAAAGUGUUGAACACGAAUCAGAUGGUUCUCAGCUCAACAAUGAACGUCCACAACGUAUUAGAGGGGCACCAAGAUGGUUGGAAAAUUAUGAGGUAUAUGGGACUAGGAAAUCUGGAAAUACAGUAAGUCAUUUUUCUUAUUUUUAGAUUGUGAUCCUAUAUCUUUUGCUGAUGCUGUUAAGACCUGAAGUGGCAGCAAGCCAUGGAUGAGGAGAUUAGAUCAAUUGAAAAAAUGAUACUUGGGAGUUGACAAAUCUUCCAGAAAAUCAGAAAACCAUUGGUGUCAAAAUGGGUUUACAAAACAAAGUUGAAGGAAAACGGAGAGGUCGACAAGUUCAAAGCUCGCUUAGUAGCAAAAGGCUACAAGCAAGAAUAUGGUGUUGACUAUGUAGAAGUGUUUGCUCCCGUUGCUCGUUUAGAUACCAUCAGAUUGGUGAUUGCUUUGGCUGCUCAAAAUGCUUGGAAAAUCUAUCAGCUGGACGUGAAAUCUGCCUUCCUACAUGGUGAACUUCAAGAAAAGGUAUCUAUCGAACAACCUCCUGGCUAUGUGAAAUUUGGUGGUGAGAAUAAAGUGCUUAGACUGAAAAAGGCUCUUUAUGGACUAAAACAAGCUCCAAGAGCUUGGUAUAGUCGCAUAGAUACUUAUUUUUCAAAGGAGGGAUUUCGAAAGUGUCCAUAUGAACAUACUCUCUAUAUAAAAAGGAAAGGUGCAGGGGUCUUAAUGGUGUGUUUAUAUGUGGAUGACUUAAUUUAUACCGGAAGUGAUGAGUCUAUGAUUGAGAACUUCAAGAAGUCCAUGAUGGUUGAGUUUGACAUGUCCGAUUUGGGUAUUAUGCAUUAUUUUCUUGGUUUAGAAGUGAAUCAAUCUGCUGAUGGUAUUUUGUUCUCAAAAGAAUAUGUGCAAGAUAUUCUGGACAGAUUCCAGAUGAAAAAUAGCAACACUGUGAGCACACCAAUGGAGAAGGGUCUGAAGCUCGUCAAAGAACCUGAAGGGAGAAAAGUGGACAGCACUUUAUACAAGCAAAUCAUUGGAAGCUUGAUGUACUUGACGGCAACAGGCCUGAUGUUAUGCACGCUGUAAGUCUCAUUAGUAGAUUCAUGGAGAGUCCAAAAGAAAUGCAUCUACAAGCUGCCAAGAGGAUCCUGCGGUACUUGAAUGGCACCAGUGACCUUGGAAUUCUUUAUCAGAUGAGAGCAGCUGGAGAUUUAGUUGGUUACACUGAUAGUGACUAUGCUGGAAAUCUUGAAGACAGGAAAAGCACAUCAGGAUUAUGUUUUUAUGUUGGGCUCUGGAGUUAUUUCUUGGUCUUCAAAGAAGCAACCUAUUGUUACUUUGUCGACUACCGAGGCAGAGUAUGUAGCUGCAACAUCGUGUGCUUGUCAAGCAGUAUGGCUGAGGAAUAUUCUUGAAGAACUUCAUUUUAAGCAGGAAAGACCAACUCCAAUCUAUUGUGACAAUACUUCGGCGAUUAAUCUUUCAAAGAAUCCAGUUGAACAUGGACGAAGUAAGCAUAUAGAUGUGAAGUAUCACUUCUUGCGUGAUCUGACUAAGGAUGCAAACAUUAGUCUUAUUUAUUGUAGGAGUGAAGAGCAGGUUGCAGACAUGUUCACAAAGCCCCUGAAACCAG